AAAUUGAAGAGUUUGAUCAUGGCUCAGAUUGAACGCUGGCGGCAGGCCUAACACAUGCAAGUCGAACGGUAACAGGAAGCAGCUUGCUGCUUCGCUGACAAGUGGCGGACGGGUGAGUAAUGUCUGGGAAACUGCCUGAUGGAGGGGGAUAACUACUGGAAACGGUGGCUAAUACCGCAUGACGUCGCAAGACCAAAGAGGGGGACCUUCGGGCCUCUUGCCAUCAGAUGUGCCCAGAUGGGAUUAGCUUGUUGGUGAGG
This 260-nucleotide ribosomal RNA is filed under the name Salmonella enterica. RNAcentral's name for it is "partial 16S ribosomal RNA". It matches the Rfam family "Bacterial small subunit ribosomal RNA", at positions 1 to 257 of the family's 1533-position model. The record is from RNAcentral. RNAcentral also lists the same sequence under 1 other name. Lineage: Bacteria; Pseudomonadati; Pseudomonadota; Gammaproteobacteria; Enterobacterales; Enterobacteriaceae.